This 490-nucleotide ribosomal RNA is filed under the name uncultured bacterium. RNAcentral's name for it is "partial 16S ribosomal RNA". It matches the Rfam family "Bacterial small subunit ribosomal RNA", at positions 30 to 507 of the family's 1533-position model. The record is from RNAcentral.
AUUGAACGCUGGCGGCAGGCCUAACACAUGCAAGUCGAACGGUAACAGGAAGCAGCUUGCUGCUUUGCUGACGAGUGGCGGACGGGUGAGUAAUGUCUGGGAAACUGCCCGAUGAAGGGGGAUAACUACUGGAAACGGUAGCUAAUACCGCAUAACGUCGCAAGACCAAAGAGGGGGACCUUAGGGCCUCUUGCCAUCGGAUGUGCCCAGAUGGGAUUAGCUAGUAGGUGGGGUAACGGCUCACCUAGGCGACGAUCCCUAGCUGGUCUGAGAGGAUGACCAGCCACACUGGAACUGAGACACGGUCCAGACUCCUACGGGAGGCAGCAGUGGGGAAUAUUGCACAACGGGCGCAAGCCUGAUGCAGCCAUGCCGCGUGUAUGAAGAAGGCCUUCGGGUUGUAAAGUACUUUCAGCGGGGAGGAAGGGAGUAAAGUUAAUACCUUUGCUCAUUGACGUUACCCGCAGAAGAAGCACCGGCUAACUCCGUG